RNAcentral lists this ribosomal RNA (259 nucleotides) under uncultured bacterium. RNAcentral's name for it is "partial 16S ribosomal RNA". It matches the Rfam family "Bacterial small subunit ribosomal RNA", at positions 524 to 776 of the family's 1533-position model. The record is from RNAcentral.
UACGAGGGGUGCAAGCGUUGCUCGGAAUUAUUGGGCGUAAAGAGCUCGUAGGCGGUUUGUCGCGUCUGCUGUGAAAACUGGAGGCUCAACCUCCAGCCUGCAGUGGGGUACGGGCAAAACUAGAGUGCGGUAGGGGGAAGAUUGGAAUUCCUGGUGUAGCGGUGGAAUGCGCAGAUAUCAGGAGGAACACCGAUGGCGAAGGCAGAUCUCUGGGCCGUAACUGACGCUGAGGAGCGAAAGCAUGGGGGAGCGAAACAGG